Non-coding RNA from Pelobates cultripes (western spadefoot toad), 534 nucleotides. NCBI's taxonomy places the organism in Eukaryota, Metazoa, Chordata, Amphibia, Anura, Pelobatidae. The record is from the annotation of a GenBank genome assembly.
GUGCAUUUCUGCCAGGGUGUUCAGUAGAUUCCAUCUACCAAACAAACUACCAAACGAUGGACCACCUGGGAGCUGGAGUGUGCCGUCAAUUGACCGCCCAGAAGCUGCGGUUAACCGCAGCUUAAUUGAUGAAUGCUGGGUGGCCUUUGUUCGGUUGCCGAACACAUGGCACCGGCCAUUUUACCUCCCGAUCGGCCAGCGGUGUUCAGCGCCCAAACUAUGGAACUGAAAACGGACACUUAUUGGCGCGAACACCGCUGAGCGGCCAGCCUCCUUACCUUCCCAUUCGUUUGCGGAACCGAAUGACUGUUCAUUCUGUAAUUUAACCGGAUGAACAGCAUCACCCCAGAUAGCUAAGCCAUGGAGCCUAUUCGUGUAACGAAAGACUAUGUGAAAGACUUUGGCUCCAUGGCGAUUGAAAUGUAUGUAUGUGAUCUGAGCGCCAUUCGGUAGUAAUGUGCGCUCAGAUCUCAGCUAUCUGGGGAUAUGUAGAAUGUAUAUGUUUUAUGUAAUAAAUGUAACUGUAUGUAAUUU